Long non-coding RNA from Gallus gallus (chicken), 388 nucleotides. RefSeq lists it as uncharacterized. The record is from RefSeq and is a predicted model, not a curated record. Lineage: Eukaryota; Metazoa; Chordata; Aves; Galliformes; Phasianidae. The transcript is spliced from 3 exons.
GGCCCCAAUACCUCGGCAGCCCCGUUCUGCCCGACCACGUCCUGCACGGUAUGGGGGGGUCAACUGCACCCCAUAACCCCAUAACCCCCCCAUUACCCCAUAGAUACCGCCCCAUAACCCCCUUAUAACCCCAUAGCCCCAUAGCCGCCCCAUAGCCCCAUAUAUUCUGCCCCAUAACCCCAUAGAUACGGCCCCAACACCUCGGCAGCCCCGUUCUGCCCGACCACGUCCUGCACGAGGCGGUGCCCGGCAGUAUCCGCACGGCGGAGCACUUUGUGUCCUUCCUUCGCCGCCUGCUGUGCUUCGGGGGAGGCGGUGCCCGGCAGUAUCCGCACGGCGGAGCACUUUGUGUCCUUCCUUCGCCGCCUGCUGUGCUUCGGGGGGUACC